Molecule: ribosomal RNA, 107 nt
Filed under: Candidatus Kuenenbacteria bacterium CG1_02_38_13
Lineage: Bacteria; Candidatus Kueneniibacteriota
Also listed under: 2 other names
Source: RNAcentral
UCCGGUGUCUCAAGCGGAGAGGCCACACCUGUUCCCAUCCCGAACACAGCAGUUAAGCUCUCCAGCGCCGAUGAUACUCUUUCGGGGAAAGUAGGCCGAUGCCGGGA